This 27-nucleotide non-coding RNA is filed under the name Rattus norvegicus (Norway rat). The record is from RNAcentral. Lineage: Eukaryota; Metazoa; Chordata; Mammalia; Rodentia; Muridae.
UAGGCCAAGGCUGGCCCGCGUGCUGGG